AGAAAUUAUAUGUUCCUUAUCUCUUUAAUUAGAGUGUAUAUAAUGUUAGUAAUGAUGUAUUAUCUAUGUAUUCAUUUUAAAGGGUUGUUUUGAUGUCAGGCUUGCUUAUAUGGGGUCAUUGGUAUGAGGAUGUGCAUAAAACCAGAUUUUAAAUCCCUGAAGAGUUAUAUAACCCGGCAUUUCCAAAGCACUUGACCUCAGAAGUACUUUAGAUUGCUCGUUUCUCAUGUUUCACUAAUUUUUUUACAUUGUGCCUCACUUGGCAAACACUAAAUUGCAGGAAGUCAUGUGCAAUAAGGGACAGAAACAAGUUCCCUUUAUUUGGCUCUUAGUGUGGUCAUUGGCAUGAUGAGGAAGAGUGACAGCAUCUGAGAUGAAGACACAGCUGUAAACUCUGCAGCUCCACAACCCCCCAGGCUCCUGCAGUUAGCCAUUAGAUCCUUUAGGGAAGGGAGAACAGAUAGAGCAUUACCUGGUGUAGGUUUGCUGCCAGUUUUUUAAGGGUUUCAGCCCAGAAGCUCUGUGGUGCUGGGUAUGGAGUGCUGCUCCAUACCCACGCUGCUCCCCAAGGACAUGCUGCAGGCCCUCCAGCUGAGUUCCAGCCCUAAGGAGAACCAAAGGUCUUGUUUGUCCCUUCAAAAGCCAAACUGGAGAUGGAAAGGCACAUCUGUCUGAUCAGAGAUUGAGAAGAACCUGGACGUGACCUCAGAGGCAGCUGGAGUGAAGUGAAGACAAGGGAACUGCUGCCAAGGAGAGGCCAUCAAGUGAAGCCAGGACAGGAGAGGAUACAGCCUUUUCAUGGAAAUAAUAUUUCCUCCUCUAUGUCUGCUGCACUUGGCACACAAUGGAGUCUCAUUACUCAACAGAACCUCUACGUGCCAUGAAAAAUAAAUUAUUAAACUCCAGCCAUUUCGCAAAGACUGGCUUUAUGAUAGCUGGCACGGUGCAUGGCCUGGGAGCUGCACACAAAUACUCGAGAAGGAUGAAAUGCUGUUUGGCUUCCACCAACAGAGAUAAGAAAUGCACACCUGCCCCCCUGAGAGUCUCCAGCUGCACUGGCAAUUCCUAGUAACUGUGGUGCCACAGCUUUGCUGCAGGGUGAGAUGUAUGACAAGCUGGCCCUUCGGAGGGAUGCUGGCUCUGCCUCACUGCUGGCCUGCCCUACAAAAUGGGUACUAAUGUGACAGAGGAUGAAAAUGGCAGUCCUGACAGGCUGACUGGGAUGGCAGCUCUGCAGAGAGCUGUGGAAACUCGGAAGGACUGACUGACUGCUAGACCUCAGCUUCUGGAAGCUGGCAGAAGAGGAGAUUCCAUCCUGAGAGGUGCUAAGCUGCUGCUGCUGCUGCCAGGAGAGUAAAGAAGGCACAGGGCGUCCCAUGUGACACGGGAAACUUGAGGAGCAGCACAGGACACGGACCAGUUCCUCCACAAUUUAGUCUUGGCUGUGUCUCCAGUGAGAAAGUACUACUUGGAACAUAAAGGAAUUCGAGAGAACACGCAGAGGAAAACAAAAAACACGAGAUGUCAUUUUACAUUUGAUUUCAAAAAGUGAAUUUAGCAGAUCCUGAUUUUCCAGACAUGGAACAGGCUUCCUGUAGAAGUACCUCCAGUGUUUUAAUUGAUGCAUUUGCACCAGGGAGAGCUGAUGCAACACGAGGACCAUCAAGCCCAUGGGUCAACAGUUUCAGAAAUAAGUAUCUAAAAUUAGGUGGCUAAUUCCAUAAUUAGGAACUUGAGAAGAGGUGGACUGUUUUUUAAAAACACUGCAGGAGGGACAAAUUCUGCUGAAGUCAAUUGGAGCUGGAGAUCCUGAGGCAAGCCACAAAUGUAACAGAGGCCUCAGGGCUGUUCCAAAGGCUGCUGGGGAGUAGCUGUGUGGAGGAACUUCUGCAUGGGUUGGGGAUGAAUACAGAACAAAACCUCCUCUGCAGCACCCACCUACAAGGUCCUUCUGCCUCCCAGACCAGUGUGGAAUAAAGCUCCAGGUGAGGAGCUCUGAAAACACUGACUAAUGACACUCAUGGAUCUUGGCAUGA
Passer domesticus (house sparrow) is the source of this 2036-nucleotide long non-coding RNA. RefSeq lists it as uncharacterized. The transcript is spliced from 9 exons. Lineage: Eukaryota; Metazoa; Chordata; Aves; Passeriformes; Passeridae. The record is from RefSeq and is a predicted model, not a curated record.